AUCAUUAUUGUAUAACAGAGGUGCCGGGGCUGUCGCCGACUUUGUGCACGCCCCGGUGCUCUCUCACAAUCCAUCUCACCCCCUUUGUGCAUCACCGCGUGGGCGGCUCUCCUUUUGGUUCAUUCUGAAAAGGGGGCGUUUGCGUUUUUAUACAGACCACCGCAUGUGUAGAAUGUCUUACUAUUUGCGAUAACACGCAAUCAAUACAACUUUCAACAACGGAUCUCUUGGCUCUCGCAUCGAUGAAGAACGCAGCGAAAUGCGAUACGUAAUGUGAAUUGCAGAAUUCAGUGAAUCAUCGAAUCUUUGAACGCACCUUGCGCCCCUUGGAAUUCCGAGGGGCACACCCGUUUGAGUGUCGUGAACAUCCUUCAACCUUUCUUGGUUUCUUGACCGGGGAAGGCUUGGACUUUGGGGGUUUUUCAUUGCUGGCCUCCCUUGAAGCCAGCUCCUCCUAAAUGGAUUAGUGGGGUCUGCUUUGCCGAUCCUUGACGUGAUAAGAUGUUUCUACGUCUUGGGUUUCGCACUGUCGCUUCAGACCCCGCUUCAAACAGUCUUGCAUCUAAGACAGAGUUUUAUAAACCUUGACCUCAAAUCGGGUGAGACUACCCGCUGAACUUAAGCAUAUCAAUAAGCGGAGGAAAAGAAACUAACAAGGAUUCCCCUAGUAACUGCGAGUGAAGCGGGAAAAGCUCAAAU
RNAcentral lists this ribosomal RNA (699 nucleotides) under Russula sp. 1 AC-2014. Its description in RNAcentral is "eukaryotic LSU rRNA". The stretch from base 208 to 361 matches the Rfam family "5.8S ribosomal RNA". The record is from RNAcentral. Lineage: Eukaryota; Fungi; Basidiomycota; Agaricomycetes; Russulales; Russulaceae.